RNAcentral lists this ribosomal RNA (331 nucleotides) under uncultured eukaryote. RNAcentral's name for it is "partial 18S ribosomal RNA". It matches the Rfam family "Eukaryotic small subunit ribosomal RNA", at positions 1470 to 1796 of the family's 1831-position model. The record is from RNAcentral.
CCCUUAGAUGUUCUGGGCCGCACGCGCGCUACACUGACGAAGUCAGCGAGCAUGUCCUACGCCGACAGGUGCGGGGAAUCUUGUCAAACUUCGUCGUGAUGGGGAUUGAUUAUUGAAAUUCUUGAUCAUGAACGAGGAAUUCCUAGUAAGCGCAAGUCAGCAGCUUGCGUUGAUUACGUCCCUGCCCUUUGUACACACCGCCCGUCGCUACUACCGAUUGAAUGGUUUAGUGAGAUCUUCGGAUUGGCGCCACUGCGGCUCGGCAACGGGCUCGGUGGACGCCGAAAAGUUGAUCAAACUUGAUCAUUUAGAGGAAGUAAAAGUCGUAACA